UGUACCCAGUGCUUUUGCCUACCAGCGCAUCGCGCAUGCGCGAAAAUUCGGAAUCAAAACAAUAACAAUGAAUUGGUCAAUAGGCAGAUGCUGAUCAGCAGAAAUCACCGUCUGGUUUUCUUUUAUAGAAUAUAUAGUCCCAAUCUCGAGUUUUUAAUACCUCAUAGUGCAUGGCAGAUUGUGCUAAGACUUGAAGAGCCGAUUGUCAUAAGUGUGUAGAUGACUGUUAGAAGAGUGAUUUCAACUACAACUGUUUUGGCUGAAUUUUGGCAUAUUUUCAGUUUGUAUGCUGAAGAAUGAACUAUUGAUAAGUUACACAUUUCUUAUUGACAUAAAUAUUCUGUGUUCAUUAUAAUCAUGCUGGUAUGUAUAGAUUUCUCACAUCUUGUGAAACUGAUAGAGUUAUUAUUUAACAUUUGUGAGCAUUUCAAGGGUGUUUAGUACUGUACUAUUUAAACUAAAUGAAACUUAAACAUUAAGAACAAAUUGCUGAGUCUGUUUAAGCUGUAGAAAAUAUUGUAUGAUCAUUGCAGCUAGUUAGUUUAUAGAUGCAUUCUUUGAAAUGUUAUUGUAAGAAUUGGAUGUUGCCAUUAAUAACAAGUAUAUAAGAUAACAUGUUUUCUUGUGUAUCAAUCUUACUUAUAUGUUGGUUGUUUAUAGUAAGAUUCUAUGCAAUUAAGAUCUAUAAGGCAGGCAAAGCGAGCCACUUUAUGGAUGCCCAGAACAAGGCCACCUCUAACUGGAUGAGAUAUGUGUUCUGUGCAAUGAAGGAGGCAGAUAAGAACCUUGUAGCAUUCCAGUACAAAGGAGGCAUCUCUACUGUACAUUGAAGCUAAUUUCAUCAGGAGAGCAACUGCUGGUCUGGUACGGAGAUGAAUUCGUCAGAGAACUUGACCUUAUCAGAUACGACAACUUUUGCAGUAAUUCCAGUAAAAACAGUGGUCACACACGCAUAAGGAUACAUACAGGAGAGAGACAGUUGAAGUGUGAGGUGUGUGAAUAUGCAUGUAACUAUCAUAGUGACUUUAAGAGACAUAUGAGGAAACAUACAGGAGAUAUACCAUACAAGUGUAAAUUAUGUGGUUAUGCAUUCAAAACAAUCGGUAAUUUGACAGAUCACAUGAGGAUACAUACAAAAGAAAGAUCGUUCACGUGUGAGGUGUGUGAUUAUGCAUGUAAUGAGAGUGGUAACUUGACGAGACACAUGAGGAUACAUACAGAAGAAAGACCGUACAAGUGUGAGGUAUGUGGUUAUGCAUUUAAAACGAGUUGUGACUUGACGAUACAUAUGAGGAUACAUACAGGAGAGAGACCAUACAAGUGUGAGGUGUGUGAUUAUGCAUGUAACAAGAAUGGUAGCUUGAAGAAACACAUGAGGAUACAUACAGGAGAACGACCGUACAAGUGUGAGGUGAACGAUGAAGCACUCAAACAGAGUUGUCACUUUACAGAUCACAUGAGGAUACAUACAGAAGAAAGACCGUUCAAGUGUGAGGCAUGUGGUGAAGCAUUCAAACAGGGUGGUCACUUGACAGAUCACAUAAAGAAACAUACAGGAGAGAGACCGUACACGUGUGAAGUGCGUGGUUAUGCAUGUAACAAUAGUGGUACCUUGAAGACACACAUGCGAACACAUACAGGAGAACGACCCUACAAGUGUGAGUUGUGUGGUUAUGGAUGUAACCGGAAUGGAGACUUGAAGACGCACAUGAGGAUACAUAGAGAAAGUUGUCUUAAAAUAAUUAUACUGUGUGUCAAUGAGUAUAUGUUUAAUAAAUUAAAUGCUAUAACUAA
Dreissena polymorpha is the source of this 1794-nucleotide long non-coding RNA. RefSeq lists it as uncharacterized. The transcript is spliced from 2 exons. The record is from RefSeq and is a predicted model, not a curated record. NCBI's taxonomy places the organism in Eukaryota, Metazoa, Mollusca, Bivalvia, Myida, Dreissenidae.